AAAAUCCCAAAUUUGGGGAAAAGGGCAGAAAUUGGAUCGGAAAAAAUCCCAAAUUUCAUUUUUUUCCUGAUUAAAAAGCUCCCCCAGCUCAGCAUUCCCUGACCUGAACUCAUUUUGGGGGGAAAAAACCCAAUUUGGGGAAAAAUACCCCAAUUUUGAGGAAGAAAACCCCAAUUUUGGGGAAGAAAACCCCAAUUUAGGGGGGAAAAAGAAAUCCCAAUUUUGGGGAUGAAACCCCAAUUUUGGGGGAAAAAAUCUAAUUUUGGGGAAAAAUACCCCAAUUUUUGGGAAAAAACCCCAAUUUUGGGGAAAAAAAAUCCCAAAUUUGGGGAAAAAAAUCCCAAAUUUGGGGAAAAAUACCCCAAUUUUGGGGGAAAAAAUUCCAAUUUUGGGGAAAAACACCCCAAUUUUUGGGAAAAACACCCCAAUUUUUGGGAAAAAACCCCAAUUUUGGGGAAAAAAAAUCCGAUUUUGGGGUUUGUGGCUGGAGGGCAGAAGGAAUUUGGGGGAAAUGAGGAAUUUUGGGGUUUCUGGGGAGCCCCGGGGGUAAAAAUCCACCGAUUGAGGCAAUUUUGGGGCGUUUUGAGGGAAUUUGGGGUUUUUCUGGGAGGAGGCCGAUUCCCGCUGAUUCCUGGUGCAGAUCCCAGCAGAUUCUGGGGGGAUCCCAGCAGAUCCAGCAGGAUCCCCACUUCCAGGGACCCCCAUUUUUGCUGUCAGUCCUGGCAGAUCCCAGCGGAUCCAGCGGGAUCCCCACUGGCAGAGAUCCCUGAUCCUGGUGCAGAUCCCAGCAGGAUCCCUGUGCAGAUCCACCCGGAUCCCAGUUCCUGGUGCAGAUCCCAGCAUAUUCCGGAGGGAUCCCAGCAGAUCCAGUGGGAUCCCCACUUGCAGCCAUCCCUGGGCUUGGUAUCGAUUCCAGCAGAUUCUGUCAAGAUCCCAGCAGAUCCAGCAGGAUCCCUGUUCCUGGAGCAGAUCCCGGGGAGAUCCCAGCAGACCCAGCAGGAUCCCCCCUCGCCGACACCGCUGUGCUCACCCGCCAGAUCCCUGCAGACCCCGUUGGAUCCCAGUGGAUCCCGGGAUCGUGUCUCAGCGGGGCUGCCGGCCCAGCCUGCGGAAGACGCUGCGGGAGCCGCAGGAGCUGCGGGAGGCGCUGCCGCCGCAGGAGGAGCCGCAGGAGCUGCUGGACACGGCCCCGUCCUGCAUCGCUGCAGAUCCAUCCCGGCGCCGCUUCAGCACUCCGGCGUAGGGCAGCGCCUCGGGAUCCGCCUGAUCCCCUGAUGGAUCCCCCUGAGGAUCCCCCGAGGGAUCCCCGGAGCUCUCCGGGGCCGCGCCCAGGCGGCCGAACACCCCCGAGGGCUGCGGGAGAGAGCGCCAUGGGUGGGGCCGGUGGAUCCCGGUCCUGCCCUGGAUCCUGGAUCCCUCCCCUGGAUCCCAAAUCCCUCCCCCAAAUCCUUCUCUGGAUCCCAAACCCUGCCCUGGAUCCCAAAUCCUCCCUCUCCCUGGAUCCUGAUCCCCCUGGAUCCCAAAUACCUCCCCCAGACCCUGCCCUGGGUCCCAAAUCCUUCCCUGGAUCACAAAUCCUGCCCGGGAUCCCAAAUCCCUCCCCCUCCCUGGAUCCUGAUCCCCCUGGAUCCCAAAUCCUCCCCUGGGUCCCAAAUCCUGCCCCGGAUCCCAAAUCCUUCCCUGGAUCCCAA
Molecule: long non-coding RNA, 1691 nt
Filed under: Taeniopygia guttata (zebra finch)
Lineage: Eukaryota; Metazoa; Chordata; Aves; Passeriformes; Estrildidae
Description: lncRNA (ENSTGUG00000028121.1)
Source: RNAcentral